AAGUCGUAACAAGGUAUCUGUAGGUGAACCUGCAGAUGGAUCAUUUCGAUGAAAACCUUUUUUCUUGAGGUGUUGCUCGCACCUGUCUAACUAAAUCGAGCUACCACAUUUUAACACGGUUGCAUCGGUUGGCUGUCAAACAGUGCGCGCGGCGAUUUAUUUCGCCCACCGCGCCUUGCGAGACGGUCGACAAUAGGAUUUGAACGCAGAUGAAACUCGACUGGUAAUGCGGUCGUCUAAAAUCUAAAAACAACUUUUGGCAACGGAUCUCUUGGUUCUCC
RNAcentral lists this unclassified non-coding RNA (281 nucleotides) under Moesziomyces aphidis. Its description in RNAcentral is "partial internal transcribed spacer region". The stretch from base 1 to 46 matches the Rfam family "Eukaryotic small subunit ribosomal RNA", at positions 1786 to 1831 of the family's 1831-position model. Lineage: Eukaryota; Fungi; Basidiomycota; Ustilaginomycetes; Ustilaginales; Ustilaginaceae. The record is from RNAcentral.